AUUGAACGCUGGCGGCAUGCCUUACACAUGCAAGUCGAACGGCAGCACGGGAGCAAUCCUGGUGGCGAGUGGCGAACGGGUGAGUAAUAUAUCGGAACGUGCCCAGUCGUGGGGAUAACGUAGCGAAAGCUACGCUAAUACCGCAUACGAUCUAUGGAUGAAAGCGGGGGAUCGCAAGACCUCGCGCGAUUGGAGCGGCCGAUAUCAGAUUAGGUAGUUGGUGAGGUAAAGGCUCACCAAGCCGACGAUCUGUAGCUGGUCUGAGAGGACGACCAGCCACACUGGGACUGAGACACGGCCCAGACUCCUACGGGAGGCAGCAGUGGGGGAAUUUUUGGACAAUGGCGCAAGCCUGAUCCAGCAAUGCCGCGUGCAGGAUGAAGGCCUU
This 388-nucleotide ribosomal RNA is filed under the name uncultured bacterium. RNAcentral describes it as "bacterial SSU rRNA". It matches the Rfam family "Bacterial small subunit ribosomal RNA", at positions 30 to 418 of the family's 1533-position model. The record is from RNAcentral.